This 525-nucleotide long non-coding RNA is filed under the name Erythranthe guttata (spotted monkey flower). RNAcentral describes it as "long non-coding RNA (EGUT_LNC001098)". The record is from RNAcentral. Lineage: Eukaryota; Viridiplantae; Streptophyta; Magnoliopsida; Lamiales; Phrymaceae.
AAAUCUCUUAUCCCUCUCUCCCCUUCCGCCACCACCAUGACCAAAAUUACGAAAAACUUCUGGAAAUCCACGGCGAAGACUAUGGCGAGGACGCGAUGGAGGAUCUUGCGCUCGCGAAUGCCCCAAGUGGCGUUCCCUUACCCACAAUUUCUCGAUUUUGCGAAGGUUUUUUCUUCGUCGCCUCAUACACAUAUGUUUAAUGUGAUUUUGCUGCCUCUUUUUGGAUAUGGUGGUGGUCAUGAAUAAUUUUGGGUUUGGGUAGCUUUGUUUUUGUGGUUUUGAUGGUGGUGUUUUUGUUUGGGUUGGUGGUGCCGGUUGUAAUUUACUUUAGUUGUCAUUAAAAACCGUAAGAAUAUGGAAGUGUGGCGGUGAUGGUGUGGUGUAGUGGCGGCGUGGUAACAACAAGGAGCAGAUCUAGGGUUUUUUGGUAGAUCGGACAGAGGGCGGUGCGGGUAGAGAAAUCCGCACAAGCUGAACCUUAAUCGACUAUGUGUUUUUUCGGUAGUCAAUUAAGUUAAUUGACUA